GGCGCUAUAGUGUAGUGGUUAUCACUUGGGAUUCUGAUAUGCAGUGUUCCCAAGACCCAGGUUCGAUCCCUGGUAGCGCCU
Molecule: transfer RNA, 81 nt
Filed under: Polyporus arcularius HHB13444
Lineage: Eukaryota; Fungi; Basidiomycota; Agaricomycetes; Polyporales; Polyporaceae
Rfam family: tRNA
About the family: Transfer RNA (tRNA) molecules are approximately 80 nucleotides in length. Their secondary structure includes four short double-helical elements and three loops (D, anti-codon, and T loops). Further hydrogen bonds mediate the characteristic L-shaped molecular structure. tRNAs have two regions of fundamental functional importance: the anti-codon, which is responsible for specific mRNA codon recognition, and the 3' end, to which the tRNAs corresponding amino acid is attached (by aminoacyl-tRNA synthetases). tRNAs cope with the degeneracy of the genetic code in two manners: having more than one tRNA (with a specific anti-codon) for a particular amino acid; and 'wobble' base-pairing, i.e. permitting non-standard base-pairing at the 3rd anti-codon position.
Source: Rfam by way of RNAcentral